CCGGACCGGCGCACGGGUGAGUAACACGUAUGGAACCUGCCCGCAGCAGGGGGAUAAGCGGAAGAAAUUCCGUCUAAUACCGCGUAACACCGCAGAGGGGCAUCCCUCGGCGGUUAAAGAUUCAUCGGCUGCGGAUGGCCAUGCGGCGCAUUAGCUAGUCGGCGGGGUAACGGCCCACCGAGGCGACGAUGCGUAGGGGUUCUGAGAGGAAGGUCCCCCACACUGGUACUGAGACACGGACCAGACUCCUACGGGAGGCAGCAG
Molecule: ribosomal RNA, 264 nt
Filed under: uncultured bacterium
Lineage: Bacteria
Description: partial 16S ribosomal RNA
Rfam family: Bacterial small subunit ribosomal RNA
Source: RNAcentral